RNAcentral lists this unclassified non-coding RNA (194 nucleotides) under uncultured fungus. RNAcentral describes it as "sequence contains ITS1". Lineage: Eukaryota; Fungi. The record is from RNAcentral.
UUAAUUAUUUGUUUUAUUCUCAGAGUUUUAAAAAUUCAAGAGUUUUAGGUAUCUUUGGUAGGCGCUGUAAAACAGCAAUCAAUCCCGCCCUGGGAUUGCCUACCAAAGGAAACCGUUAAAAAAUAGAUAAACAUUGGGUUUAAUGGGAGUUUUUACACUCUGUAAUGAUCCCUCCGCUGGUUCACCAACGGAGA